Molecule: ribosomal RNA, 460 nt
Filed under: uncultured bacterium
Lineage: Bacteria
Description: partial 16S ribosomal RNA
Rfam family: Bacterial small subunit ribosomal RNA
Source: RNAcentral
CCUACGGGAGGCAGCAGUGAGGAAUAUUGGUCAAUGGCCGUAAGGCUGAACCAGCCAAGUCGCGUGAAGGAAGAAGGAUCUAUGGUUUGUAACCUUCUUUUAUAGGGGAAUAAAGGUAUCCACGUGUGGAUAUUUACAUGUACCCUAUGAAUAAGCAUCUGCUAACUCGGUACCAGCAGCCGCGGUAAUACGGAGGAUGCGAGCGUUAUCCGGAUUUAUUGGGUUUAAAGGGUGCGUAGGUUGUUUUUUAAGUCAGCGGUGAAAGUUUGUGGCUCAACCAUAAAAUUGCCGUUGAAACUGGAAGACUUGAGUGUGUUUGAGGUAGGCGGAAUGCGUGGUGUAGCGGUGAAAUGCAUAGAGAUCACGCAGAACUCCGAUUGCGAAGGCAGCUUACUAAGCCAUAACUGACACUGAAGCACGAAAGCGUGGGGAUCAAACAGGAUUAGAUACCCGUGUAGUC